CAGUUCGGAUUGGAGCUGCAACCCGACCUCCAUGAAGCUGGAUUCGCUAGUAAUCGCGCAUCAGCCACGGCGCGGUGAAUACGUUCCCGGGCCUUGUACACACCGCCCGUCAAGCCAUGGAAGCCGGGAGUGCCUGAAGUGCGUGACCGCAAGGAGCGUCCUAAGGCAAUACCGGUAACUGGGGCUAAGUCGUAACAAGGUAUC
RNAcentral lists this ribosomal RNA (204 nucleotides) under uncultured bacterium. RNAcentral's name for it is "partial 16S ribosomal RNA". It matches the Rfam family "Bacterial small subunit ribosomal RNA", at positions 1289 to 1500 of the family's 1533-position model. The record is from RNAcentral.